Molecule: ribosomal RNA, 370 nt
Filed under: uncultured organism
Description: partial 16S ribosomal RNA
Rfam family: Bacterial small subunit ribosomal RNA
Source: RNAcentral
GGAGGGUGCGAGCGUUAAUCGGAAUUACUGGGCGUAAAGCGCGCGUAGGCGGCUUGGUCAGUCGGAUGUGAAAGCCCCGGGCUUAACCUGGGAAUUGCAUUCGAUACUGCCAGACUAGAGUAUGGGAGAGGGAAGCGGAAUUUCCGGUGUAGCGGUGAAAUGCGUAGAUAUCGGAAGGAACACCAGUGGCGAAGGCGGCUUCCUGGCCCAAUACUGACGCUGAGGUGCGAAAGCGUGGGGAGCGAACAGGAUUAGAUACCCUGGUAGUCCACGCCGUAAACGAUGAGAACUAGAUGUCGGGAGGAUUUGCCUCUCGGUGUCGCAGCUAACGCGUUAAGUUCUCCGCCUGGGGAGUACGCCGGCAACGGUA